GGUUAAGCGACUAAGCGUACACGGUGGAUGCCCUGGCAGUCAGAGGCGAUGAAGGGCGUGCUAAUCUGCGAUAAGCGCCGGUAAGGUGAUAUGAACCGUUAUAACCGGCGAUACCCGAAUGGGGAAACCCAGUGUGACUCGUCACACUAUCAUUAACUGAAUCCAUAGGUUAAUGAGGCGAACCGGGGGAACUGAAACAUCUAAGUACCCCGAGGAAAAGAAAUCAACCGAGAUUCCCCCAGUAGCGGCGAGCGAACGGGGAGGAGCCCAGAGCCUGAAUCAGCAUGUGUGUUAGUGGAAGCGUCUGGAAAGGCGCGCGAUACAGGGUGACAGCCCCGUACACAAAAGCGCAUGUGCUGUGAGCUCGAUGAGUAGGGCGGGACACGUGGUAUCCUGUCUGAAUAUGGGGGGACCAUCCUCCAAGGCUAAAUACUCCUGACUGACCGAUAGUGAACCAGUACCGUGAGGGAAAGGCGAAAAGAACCCCGGCGAGGGGAGUGAAAAAGAACCUGAAACCGUGUACGUACAAGCAGUGGGAGCACCCUUUGGGGUGUGACUGCGUACCUUUUGUAUAAUGGGUCAGCGACUUAUAUUCUGUAGCAAGGUUAACCGUAUAGGGGAGCCGUAGGGAAACCGAGUCUUAACCGGGCGUUAAGUUGCAGGGUAUAGACCCGAAACCCGGUGAUCUAGCCAUGGGCAGGUUGAAGGUUGGGUAACACUAACUGGAGGACCGAACCGACUAAUGUUGAAAAAUUAGCGGAUGACCUGUGGCUGGGGGUGAAAGGCCAAUCAAACCGGGAGAUAGCUGGUUCUCCCCGAAAGCUAUUUAGGUAGCGCCUCGUGAAUUCAUCUCCGGGGGUAGAGCACUGUUUCGGCUAGGGGGCCAUCCCGGCUUACCAACCCGAUGCAAACUGCGAAUACCGGAGAAUGUUAUCACGGGAGACACACGGCGGGUGCUAACGUCCGUCGUGAAGAGGGAAACAACCCAGACCGCCAGCUAAGGUCCCAAAGUCAUGGUUAAGUGGGAAACGAUGUGGGAAGGCCCAGACAGCCAGGAUGUUGGCUUAGAAGCAGCCAUCAUUUAAAGAAAGCGUAAUAGCUCACUGGUCGAGUCGGCCUGCGCGGAAGAUGUAACGGGGCUAAACCAUGCACCGAAGCUGCGGCAGCGACGCUGAUGCGUUGUUGGGUAGGGGAGCGUUCUGUAAGCCUGCGAAGGUGAGCCGUGAGGGUUGCUGGAGGUAUCAGAAGUGCGAAUGCUGACAUAAGUAACGAUAAAGCGGGUGAAAAGCCCGCUCGCCGGAAGACCAAGGGUUCCUGUCCAACGUUAAUCGGGGCAGGGUGAGUCGACCCCUAAGGCGAGGCCGAAAGGCGUAGUCGAUGGGAAACGGGUUAAUAUUCCCGUACUUGGUGUUACUGCGAAGGGGGGACGGAGAAGGCUAUGUUGGCCGGGCGACGGUUGUCCCGGUUUAAGCGUGUAGGUGUGUGUUCCAGGUAAAUCCGGUUCACUUUAACACUGAGGCGUGACGACGAGGCACUACGGUGCUGAAGCAACAAAUGCCCUGCUUCCAGGAAAAGCCUCUAAGCAUCAGGUAACAUCAAAUCGUACCCCAAACCGACACAGGUGGUCAGGUAGAGAAUACCAAGGCGCUUGAGAGAACUCGGGUGAAGGAACUAGGCAAAAUGUGCCGUAACUUCGGGAGAAGGCACGCUGACACGUAGGUGAAGUGAUUUACUCAUGGAGCUGAAGUCAGUCGAAGAUACCAGCUGGCUGCAACUGUUUAUUAAAAACACAGCACUGUGCAAACACGAAAGUGGACGUAUACGGUGUGACGCCUGCCCGGUGCCGGAAGGUUAAUUGAUGGGGUCAGCGCAAGCGAAGCUCCUGAUCGAAGCCCCGGUAAACGGCGGCCGUAACUAUAACGGUCCUAAGGUAGCGAAAUUCCUUGUCGGGUAAGUUCCGACCUGCACGAAUGGCGUAAUGAUGGCCAGGCUGUCUCCACCCGAGACUCAGUGAAAUUGAACUCGCUGUGAAGAUGCAGUGUACCCGCGGCAAGACGGAAAGACCCCGUGAACCUUUACUAUAGCUUGACACUGAACAUUGAGCCUUGAUGUGUAGGAUAGGUGGGAGGCUUUGAAGCGUGGACGCCAGUCUGCGUGGAGCCGACCUUGAAAUACCACCCUUUAAUGUUUGAUGUUCUAACGUGGACCCGUAAUCCGGGUUGCGGACAGUGUCUGGUGGGUAGUUUGACUGGGGCGGUCUCCUCCUAAAGAGUAACGGAGGAGCACGAAGGUUGGCUAAUCCUGGUCGGACAUCAGGAGGUUAGUGCAAUGGCAUAAGCCAGCUUGACUGCGAGCGUGACGGCGCGAGCAGGUGCGAAAGCAGGUCAUAGUGAUCCGGUGGUUCUGAAUGGAAGGGCCAUCGCUCAACGGAUAAAAGGUACUCCGGGGAUAACAGGCUGAUACCGCCCAAGAGUUCAUAUCGACGGCGGUGUUUGGCACCUCGAUGUCGGCUCAUCACAUCCUGGGGCUGAAGUAGGUCCCAAGGGUAUGGCUGUUCGCCAUUUAAAGUGGUACGCGAGCUGGGUUUAGAACGUCGUGAGACAGUUCGGUCCCUAUCUGCCGUGGGCGCUGGAGAACUGAGGGGGGCUGCUCCUAGUACGAGAGGACCGGAGUGGACGCAUCACUGGUGUUCGGGUUGUCAUGCCAAUGGCACUGCCCGGUAGCUAAAUGCGGAAGAGAUAAGUGCUGAAAGCAUCUAAGCACGAAACUUGCCCCGAGAUGAGUUCUCCCUGAGACUUAGAGUCUCCUGAAGGAACGUUGAAGACGACGACGUUGAUAGGCCGGGUGUGUAAGCGCAGCGAUGCGUUGAGCUAACCGGUACUAAUGAACCGUGAGGCUUAACCUU
RNAcentral lists this ribosomal RNA (2905 nucleotides) under Salmonella enterica subsp. enterica serovar Heidelberg. RNAcentral's name for it is "23S ribosomal RNA". It matches the Rfam family "Bacterial large subunit ribosomal RNA". Lineage: Bacteria; Pseudomonadati; Pseudomonadota; Gammaproteobacteria; Enterobacterales; Enterobacteriaceae. The record is from RNAcentral.